RNAcentral lists this long non-coding RNA (699 nucleotides) under Populus tremula. Its description in RNAcentral is "long non-coding RNA (PTRE_LNC001726)". The record is from RNAcentral. Lineage: Eukaryota; Viridiplantae; Streptophyta; Magnoliopsida; Malpighiales; Salicaceae.
ACCACAACUCGACGAAGGGAUUAGGGACAUCCUUGGCAUUAGGAUUCUCCCACUCCACCACUGACUCCCACCAUUAUUUUGGUUUUAUUUUCAUUCUUCUAAGAGAAGGAGGAGGAGAUGGCUGCCCAUUUUCAAGCAACAGAACACAAAUUUUCUUCUCCUCUAACUGGUACCGGAGCCUCUUCCAGCAAUGAACUUCUCCUCUAGUACAAAGACUUGCAGGCUAGAGAGUUGAGCCAAUAUCGCACCACAAAACUCCUUUUCAUCAUUCUAAGAAACCUCAGGUUGGAUAGAGAUUCCAUACCUUGAGGCAUCUUUUCAAGUGCACAAGUAUGAGAGAGAUCUAACCUUUUCAAUGCCCUCAGCUUUUUUAAUGAUGGUAAAUGCCUCAGGUUCAAACUCCAUGUGAGCAACAAUGCAGUGAGACUCACCAAACCAGAGAAAGAAUCAAUAAGGUUGACAGAUUUAGACACCUUGGUGAAAGGCUAGAGGGAAUUUCUUUAAUUUGGUUUUAUACUAGAGAAACUCCCACAAGAUUUUUCUUUAAUUUCUUUAACCGUGCCUUGAGAGUUCUCUUGCAUCAUGUGGCCAUCGUCAAUUUUUGCUUGCCUGCUCCUCAUCCCUUCCGUUAUUCCCUCCUUCCUUUCAAUCACAUGAUCUUCAGGAAAUAAUUCACAACAUAAUCAACUUCUUCCUUUC